GCAAGUCGAGGGGCAGCAUAAAUUACUUGUAAUUUGAUGGCGACCGGCGAACGGGUGCGUAACGCGUAUGCAACUUACCUUUUACUAGAGAAUAGCCAAGAGAAAUUUUGAUUAAUGCUCUAUACACUUACUAACUUUCAUGAGUUUGUAAGAAAAGCUCCGGCGGUAAAAGAUGGGCAUGCGUCCUAUUAGCUUGUAGGUGAGGUAACGGCUCACCUAAGCUCCGAUAGGUAGGGGUCCUGAGAGGGAGACCCCCCACACUGGUACUGAGACACGGACCAGACUUCUACGGAAGGCAGCAGUAAGGAAUAUUGGACAAUGGAGGAAACUCUGAUCCAGCCAUGCCGCGUGAAGGAUGACGGCCUUAUGGGUUGUAAACUUCUUUUAUACAGGAAUAAACCUAUCCACGUGUGGAUAGCUGAAGGUACUGUAAGAAUAAGGAUCGGCUAACUCCGUGCCAGCAGCCGCGGUAAUACGGAGGAUCCAAGCGUUAUCCGGAAUUAUUGGGUUUAAAGGGUCCGCAGGCUGUUUGUUAAGUCAGAGGUGAAAUCCUACCGCUCAACGGUAGAACUGCCUUUGAUACUGGCAAACUUGAGUUAUUGUGAAGUAGUUAGAAUGUGUAGUGUAGCGGUGAAAUGCAUAGAUAUUACACAGAAUACCGAUUGCGAAAGCAGAUUACUAACAAUUAACUGACGCUGAGGGACGAAAGCGUGGGUAGCGAACAGGAUUAGAUACCCUGGUAGUCCACGCCGUAAACGAUGGUCACUAGCUGUUCGAUGUACAUUGGUACAUUGAGUGGCUAAGCGAAAGUGAUAAGUGACCCACCUGGGGAGUAC
This 836-nucleotide ribosomal RNA is filed under the name uncultured marine bacterium. Its description in RNAcentral is "bacterial SSU rRNA". It matches the Rfam family "Bacterial small subunit ribosomal RNA", at positions 57 to 883 of the family's 1533-position model. The record is from RNAcentral.